UGUAAGUGUAGUUAUGGAUUGUCGUGUCCAACGUUUGACCGUUUGUCUUAUUUAAUUUUGUUUAUGAUUAGUUUUUUAUUGUUAUUAGAUGAUGGAAUAAUACUUUAUACAUGACUUAUGUUUUUAAUUUAUUUUUUAUAAACUAUUCAAAUAAUGCGGACAGUUAAACGUUGGACAUGGAAACCCGCAAGUGCAUUUAAA
Oryza glaberrima (African rice) is the source of this 201-nucleotide non-coding RNA. The record is from Rfam. NCBI's taxonomy places the organism in Eukaryota, Viridiplantae, Streptophyta, Magnoliopsida, Poales, Poaceae.